CCUACGGGUGGCUGCAGUGGGGAAUAUUGCUCAAUGGCGGAAACCCUGAAGCAGCAAAGCCGCGUGAGGGAUGAAGGUUUUAGGAUUGUAAAACCCUUUUGUUCGGGAAGCAAAUGACGGUAUCUAACGAAUAAGCACCGGCUAACUCCGUGCCAGGUGCCGCGGUAAUACGGCGGGUGCCAGCGUUAUUCGGAAUAACUGGGCGUAAAGGGGGCGUAGGCGGGAGAGCAAGUCAGAUGUGAAAUCCUAGGGCUUAACCACAGAACUGCAUUUGAAACUGUUAUUCUAGAGUGUGGGAGAGGUAGGUGGAAUGCGUGGUGUAGCGGUAAAAUGCGUAGAGAUCAAGAAGAACACACAUUGCGAAGGCGGCCUGCUGGAACAUAACUGACGCUGAUGCGCGAAAGCGUGGGGAGCGAACAGGAUUAGAUACCCCUGUAGUC
Molecule: ribosomal RNA, 440 nt
Filed under: uncultured bacterium
Lineage: Bacteria
Description: partial 16S ribosomal RNA
Rfam family: Bacterial small subunit ribosomal RNA
Source: RNAcentral